This 114-nucleotide ribosomal RNA is filed under the name uncultured bacterium. RNAcentral's name for it is "partial 16S ribosomal RNA". It matches the Rfam family "Bacterial small subunit ribosomal RNA", at positions 1369 to 1482 of the family's 1533-position model. The record is from RNAcentral.
CGUUCCCGGGUCUUGUACACACCGCCCGUCACACCAUGGGAGCGGGAUGUACCAGAAGUAGGUAGGCUAACCGCAAGGGGGCCGCUUACCACGGUGCGUUUCGUAACUGGGGUG